CAGAACCUGACCCUGGAAGUCAAUGGGCCCAAAUGGCCACCGGGGGGCACAAUCGCUUUUGGUUUGGCAGCACAGCCUUUUUUUUAAAGUCUCCACUUUGACAAAGGCCCCUUCCCGGGUAGUGCUGGCCUUGGAGACCAGAGGCAGAGGGGGGAGUUCCUCAAGGGGACUGUUUUGGUAUCAACGUGACUGCAGUUGGCACAGCCCAAGGUGAACAACACUUAUUGGCUGGAAAGGGUGCCGUCUGGUUGUGUUUGUUCAGGUCUAAAAACCAUUUAGAUCUGCGGUUCUCAGAGUGUAGUCUGCAGUUCCAGCACUAGGGAGCUUGUUAGAAAUGCAAAUGCUUGGGCCUUUACCCUAGACCUGCUGAAUCUCACCGUGGGUGGGUGUGGGGCCGGGUUAUCUGUUUUAAGAAGUCCUUCCGGGGAUCCUGCCUCACGUACAAGUUGGAGAAGCAGGGUUUAGAUGAUGCAGUGGAGGCCCUGCAUCCUGUUACCAGGUAGCCUCUUCCGUAUUGCUCAGCUCACAUCUGACUUCAAUUUGGCCUGGCGAGAGCAACACUCACUGCCCAGAGCUCAGACAGAUCUGCCGCAGGAGGGAAGCCCCUGGAAAGAUCUUCCGCUGGCCACUCCUGAGAAGGAGCUUGGAAGCUCAGUACAGGAGCUCGCUUGAGUCACAAGAGGAUGACCAUAACGAUGACUUCUUGCACAGUGAAGUUUUUCCUUCGGACCUUCCACACAAAUCCGCUUACGCAGUUGAGCCCUGCAUGCACCACGAGCGACAGUCCUGUGGGCGGCCACUGGACAAUGGAGGUGAAGUGGGGAGGCAUCAGAGUGACAGCCACGUUGUGUGCCUUCUGCACGAGCCAGACCGCAAGACAAUACUCAGAGAGAGGCAACAAUAUCCAUCCUGGCUGAGCUGAUGAUGGUGAGGGGCCACAGAGCCAUGAAAAUGACUUGGAGCAGCCUCCAUGUAUUCCUCAGUGUUGAAUCAUUGUGUGCACCCACAGAGCAUUUGCUUUGUAAAAAAAGCUAACAUUGUGAAAAAUGGGGUAGGCACUUCCUGUUUUGACCAGGAACAAAUGCAAACCAGACCCUGCUCCUCUCACCAGGCAGAGCUUGCUCUUUCAAUUCAGAGAUAUCUGCAAGGACCCAAUUAUGCUGUGGUGUGGAAUGGAGCAUUUAUGUAAACUGAGGUUCCUGCCAAAGACACCAUCUCUUGGCUGAAUGGCAAGAUUGGCCAGGACACCAGGAAGCUGAGACUGACUGGACACACAAGAGUGGGAGCUUGUGAGACAGUGGGACACAGGAC
RNAcentral lists this long non-coding RNA (1311 nucleotides) under Piliocolobus tephrosceles (Ugandan red Colobus). Its description in RNAcentral is "lncRNA (ENSPTEG00000022850.1)". Lineage: Eukaryota; Metazoa; Chordata; Mammalia; Primates; Cercopithecidae. The record is from RNAcentral.